Peromyscus californicus insignis is the source of this 611-nucleotide long non-coding RNA. RefSeq lists it as uncharacterized. Lineage: Eukaryota; Metazoa; Chordata; Mammalia; Rodentia; Cricetidae. The transcript has 4 exons. The record is from RefSeq and is a predicted model, not a curated record.
CCCACCCCCUCCCUGCCCAUAAACUUCUCACAUGAGUUCUGUUGCAUGGUACGACUUUGUGGCGCCCCUUGGCUUCAACCCACCCGGGUGUCUUAUGCUGAUCGACAACAACGUCUCUGUGUACCAGACAGCCUGCGAUGGGCUCAUUUCCAAACCGAUCGCUGGGCACUUCACCCAACACCGGCAAGGACUGAGAUGAGGGAAGGAUCACAGAAGGAGGAUUGGGGGAAACUGGCAGUGUUGGAGCCAUGGUCUGUACCAUCUACAUCAGGCUGAAAAGGAAAUGUAGAGAGUGAAGAUACAGGAAAAUAAGGACCAAAGAAUGAGACUUGAGGCAAACUCUUAGCUACUGCUCCAGCACCAUGCCUGCCUGCUGCCAAGCUCCCUGCCAUAAUGGUCAUGGACCAACCCUCUGAAGCUGAGAUGAGAGGCUGUGGAUUCAUUCCAGGCUGAUAUGGAUCAGGUUUGAUUGGGGAAGACCCUCUGAAAUCCUGACUACAAACACAGAAAUAAACGUAGAAGAGCUACAAGACACGUGAUGUAUAUUUUACCUGCUGAAACAUAAAACAAAAAAUUGUCUUUGGCUGACUUGUGUACAAUGCACAGUCUAU